RNAcentral lists this ribosomal RNA (468 nucleotides) under uncultured bacterium. Its description in RNAcentral is "partial 16S ribosomal RNA". It matches the Rfam family "Bacterial small subunit ribosomal RNA", at positions 28 to 507 of the family's 1533-position model. The record is from RNAcentral.
GACGAACGCUGGCGGCGUGCUUAACACAUGCAAGUCGAACGGAAAGGCCCUGCUUUUGUGGGGUGCUCGAGUGGCGAACGGGUGAGUAACACGUGAGUAACCUGCCCUUGACUUUGGGAUAACUUCAGGAAACUGGGGCUAAUACCGGAUAGGAGCUCCUGCUGCAUGGUGGGGGUUGGAAAGUUUCGGCGGUUGGGGAUGGACUCGCGGCUUAUCAGCUUGUUGGUGGGGUAGUGGCUUACCAAGGCUUUGACGGGUAGCCGGCCUGGGAGGGUGACCGGCCACGAUGGGACUGGGAUAAGGCCCAGACUACAACGGGAGGCAGGAGUGGGGAAUAUUGCACAAUGGGCGGAAGCCUGAUGCAGCCACGCCGCGUGCGGGAUGACGGCCUGCGGGUUGUAAACCGCUUUCGCCUGUGACGAAGCGUGAGUGACGGUAAUGGGUAAAGAAGCACCGGCUAACUACGUG